Molecule: ribosomal RNA, 497 nt
Filed under: uncultured bacterium
Lineage: Bacteria
Description: partial 16S ribosomal RNA
Rfam family: Bacterial small subunit ribosomal RNA
Source: RNAcentral
GAUGAACGCUGGCGGCGUGCCUAAUACAUGCAAGUCGAGCGAACGGACGAGAAGCUUGCUUCUCUGAUGUUAGCGGCGGACGGGUGAGUAACACGUGGAUAACCUACCUAUAAGACUGGGAUAACUUCGGGAAACCGGAGCUAAUACCGGAUAAUAUUUUGAACCGCAUGGUUCAAAAGUGAAAGACGGUCUUGCUGUCACUGAUAGAUGGAUCCGCGCUGCAUUAGCUAGUUGGUAAGGUAACGGCUUACCAAGGCCACGAUGCAUGGCCGACCUGAGAGGGUGAUCGGCCACACUGGAACUGAGCCACGGUCCAUACGCCUACGGGAGGCAGCAGUAGGGAAUCUUCCGCAAUGGGCGAAAGCCUGACGGAGCAACGCCGCGUGAGUGAUGAAGGUCUUCGGAUCGUAAAACUCUGUUAUUAGGGAAGAACAUCUGUGUAAGUAACUGUGCCCAUCUUGACGGUACCUAAUCAGAAAGCCACGGCUAACUACGUG